This is an RNA transcript of Ricinus communis (castor bean), 1825 nucleotides long. RefSeq lists it as uncharacterized. The record is from RefSeq and is a predicted model, not a curated record. NCBI's taxonomy places the organism in Eukaryota, Viridiplantae, Streptophyta, Magnoliopsida, Malpighiales, Euphorbiaceae. The transcript is spliced from 3 exons.
UUGAAAAAUUUGUUAUAAUAUUGAAACUGAAAAAGAAUAUAUUAUAAAUUAAAAAUGUAAAAAACUGUAUAAAAAAAAAGCAAGAAAUAUUUUAGCUGAAAUUAAUAGAAAAUUAAUCGAAAAGUGAACUAGUAUACUUUUAUAAACUUUAACAGGAAUUAAAUUUCUUUUAAAAAAAAUAGGGAUUAAAUUUAAUAUUUUAAAAAAUAAUUAGUGUAAACAAAUUCUUUUAAUUUAACAGUAAACGUCACAUCUCAACUCCAUAACCAUAAUAUUAAAAACAUGAACAGUAAAUCCGAGGUGAUACACACCUGCCUAAAUUUAUAAGAUAUGACAUUCAUAUCAAAGUCAUUCCAAUUGAUGGCUAUCAGAGCCAUAUCUAUCCUAGUAGGAAUAUGAAUUGACAGCAGAACUAACAGAUAUUUAACAGAAAGAAAAAUAAAAUAUACUAUUGCAAAUCAUAAAAAGAAAAGAAAAAUAAGUUGUAGCCAGUGUAAUUUCAGGGGCAAAUUACAAUUUAUCUUAAUAAUAAUAAUGGAGUAGCCCAUGGAUUGACCUUGUUAAUGAAAAAAAUUAUGAUAUGGUAAACGUUAAGGAGCGCUACUAGAAAUUAAACCAUACCCAACACAACAAAUCAAUGUGACUGGACAAACACCUGCACCUUGUCAUGUUUACAACCAUAUUAGUCUUUUCCUCUUCCCCUUGUAUCCAACAAUGCCCGAAAGGAAUUGCAGUGCUUGAAAGAAUCCAAGCAGCAUUAAAGAGGAUGGUAUAGAAUAUUUUUUCUAAUUUCUUGAUUUCUAUCAAAAUCAUUGGCCUUGUAAUGAAACAGCCAAACCAAUUACGAUAAUUAAAGGCAAUAUCUUUUCUCAUAAUUUGCAGUACCAAUUAUCAUUAUUCGACAACGAAAUGGCAUUGAAAUGACUUACCAUUUAUCUUCUAUUUGCAUAUGCCAAGCGCAGCUUUCAUCAAAUUUCUAUGUCAACAGAUGUCCUAAUUCAUUGAGUACUUUUACGCACCGCCACUAGCACUGCCGUUUUGCGUGAGCGGAGAUUGGCAGCAUCUCUGGUUCGCGCCUCCAUUUCGCGAUUGCUUUGUUCAGGGUUGUGAUGGUUCAAUCUUGCUGGAGGAUAUACAUCUUCAAUGACUGGCGAAAAAUUUGCACGCAGCAACAAUGAUUCGGUUAGAGGAUUCCAAGUUAUAGAUAAUGCAAAGCGCAAGUCGAAAGCAUAUGUCCUGGAAUUGUUUCUUGUGCUGAUAUUGAUGCAGUUGCAGCUAGGGAUGCAUCUAUUGCUGAGUACAUACAAUAGGGCAAGCAAGAUGCCUGACCUUCCGUGAUAGGAUUUACAACAAUGCAAGCGAUAUUGAUGCUGGCUUCGCAAUCACCCAAAGACGCCACUGUCCUGCUAACAAUGGCAACGAAGGUGGAAAUCCAGCAGGACUUGCUUUGGUUACACCUAAUUUUUUUGAUAUAACUACUUCAGGAAUCUUAUUCAGAAAAGGGUCUUCUUCAAUCAGUUCAACUUCUGAGGGGUGGAUCUACAGCACAUUGUUAAUGAACAUAGCAGGGGCCCUUCAAGUUUCAGUUCUGAUUUCGCUUCUACAAUGGAAAAGAUGGGAGAUAUAGAGCCCCUAACUGGUUUUCAAGCAAAAUGGGAAAGCUCUGCAAUGUUGCGAACUGAUUUGUUGAUUGAAUUCUAGUUUUGAUAGUAUCAUUAAUGAUAUAUUCUGAAAUACUUUGGGGAAUACUAUGUAUUGAUUCUUGAUUGAGCUCCCUAUAUACUCUUUACGGAUGGCCUCAAGAGUUUUAAUGCAGAUGGAUACU